CGGCCGCGGUACUCUGACCGUGCAAAGGUAGCAUAAUCAUUUGCCUUAUAAUUGAAGGCUUGUAUGAAUGGUUUGACAAGAAUGAAGCUGUCUCUCUAUAAUUAAUUAAAAUUUUAUUUAUAGGUGAAGAAGCCUAUAUUACAUUGAAAGACAAGAAGACCCUAUCGAGCUUUAAAAAAAUUAAUAAAUUAAAAAAUUAAUAUUAAAAUAUAAAUUUUGUUAUUAAGUUAUUUUAGUUGGGGCGACUGAGGAACAGAUAAAGCUUCCUGUAUAAUAUUAACACAUUCAAGUAUUGAUCCAAACAUUUUGAUUAAAGGAAUUAGUUACCGUAGGGAUAACAGCAUUAUCUUUUUUGAGAGUUCUAAUCGAAAAAAAGGUUUGUGACCUCGAUGUUGGACCAGAAUAUCCUAAAGAUGUAGCCGUCUUUAAGG
RNAcentral lists this ribosomal RNA (431 nucleotides) under Ocenebra edwardsii. RNAcentral describes it as "Ocinebrina edwardsii partial 16S ribosomal RNA". It matches the Rfam family "Bacterial large subunit ribosomal RNA", at positions 1928 to 2570 of the family's 2925-position model. Lineage: Eukaryota; Metazoa; Mollusca; Gastropoda; Neogastropoda; Muricidae. The record is from RNAcentral.